This is a non-coding RNA of Sus scrofa (pig), 870 nucleotides long. NCBI's taxonomy places the organism in Eukaryota, Metazoa, Chordata, Mammalia, Artiodactyla, Suidae. The record is from RefSeq and is a predicted model, not a curated record.
UAGGCCGGUGGCUACAGCUCUGAUUUGCCGCCUCUCCUGGGAAUUUCCGUAUGCCGCGGGGGCCGCCCUCAAACCCCGAGACGAAUCGAUCAGUAAUGUCCUCCAGUUCUCUGUGCACUGCUGCAGUGGGUAGGGUUUCUGUGGGCUGUAUCCAUCCCGUUGUCUUUCUCAGUCUGUGUGCCCGUGGGCACUGGGGCUCUGUUUCUGUUGGGCUCUCGUGUGUGUGGCGCUGCCGGGAUCCUGGGAUGGCGGGUCUCUUUACCCGACACCGAUGGUUCUUCCUUUAGAUGUCCACGCAGCAGUGGGACUGCGGGGUCCCGUGCUAGGUCCGUGGGCAGCUUUCCUGAGGACCUGCCAUAGUGUUUCCCGUCCUGGCUGGGCCAGCUGACCUUCCCGCCCACAGCGUAGAGAAGUCCCAGCUUGGAGCUUGGAGAGUGUGUGUGAGAGCGACCUCCGCUGACAGCAACCUCGCGAAAGUGAUCGAGACUCGGUGGCGGAGCGCACCGACUGCCGCCAGGAUGAGGAGGCUGCAGACUGUUGCUUUGGGAGCAAAGGAUCGUGCUUCAAAAGUCUGAGGACAAGUUUGUCCUCUGCGAGCUUGGCUAGAAUAAUUCCCCGGUGGCCACACAACAGGGUGCACCUUGCCACUGAGCCAGAUGAAGGUACUGUGGGACCUGACUCAGUACAUUCAGGCAUGGACAAUGAUUCUAGUUCAUUCAGUGUUCCAAAUUUCCGAACAAACUCUACACAUGCUAAGCCAUGUCUUUCUUUUACUGCAUGAUGGAAAUUCAAAUGAACUAACUUGGAGUUCCUGUCGUGGCGCAGUGGUUAACGAAUCCGACUAGGAACCAUGAGGUUGCGAGUUUGAUC